This 10309-nucleotide long non-coding RNA is filed under the name Mytilus galloprovincialis (Mediterranean mussel). The record is from RNAcentral. Lineage: Eukaryota; Metazoa; Mollusca; Bivalvia; Mytilida; Mytilidae.
GCAAUUUUGAAUAAUAUCUUGGUAAGACUGUCAGUUUACGAUAAUACUAAAUGAUGUUUCGAUAAGAUGAGAACACCUAUUGGGUGCUGUCGAAAGAAGUAUACUGUACUUCAGAUGGGUGAACAGACACUUGUUUCUUGUCAUGUAAAUGUCUAUAAAUUAUUUGACUGUAUACACUACUACAAUAAACUAGAGGUACUUGUUUCUAUGAUAUCCAUGAGAAGGACAGGUCGACUAUCCAAAUGUAUUUUUUUACAGAGACACAUUCUUGUGGCUGAUAAAGAAAUGCAAAACUUACACAAUAUAUAUAUUCUGUUUGGUAACAAAAUAGCAAAAUAUCUAAAAAUAGGUAUGAUGAAAUAGACACUGUAUCCUUGCAUUGGUAUGCAUUUUAUGUGAUAUUUAGAAUGAAGUCACAUGUUGUGGCUGUAUUGCCUACACAUCCUAUGAAUGUCAUUUAAAUGUGACUAUUGCGUCUGGAAAUCAAGCAAUCCUCUCUUACCCAGAGACAUAUGAACACAUCAUGCACAAGUUUAUAUGUCUCUGAUAUACAUGUAUCUCAGACAAAGUCAGGCAUAAUACUUAUGCAAGUGGUAAAUAUUUACCUUUACAGGUGAAUUCCUUCAGUUAAAACUUGUCAUAUAGUACUACAAUGUAUUGAUUUCAUCUUAAUCUGGUGCUUAUGUAUUUCUCACAGUCCUUUGGUAUAUAUUUUUAACGUCCGGGAUUGGGAUUCAGGCUUGCUAGAUCUAGAAAUCACCUUGUUCUCUUUAAAUAGUCUAUAAUUAGUUUGGAAAAAGGGCUAUUUUGUCAUAUAAGUAAAAAAAAAUCAUAUUUUCUUCUUGUUUCAAUUUCUUUUGACUGCAUUGCUGUAAAUGUCAGAGUGAUUUUCUGUAAUUACCGUAAUACACGUGUAGAUGUCAAUAUACUAUUCAUAAAUGUAUAAUUUCAUGGACAAAGAACAUACUUGUCUUCUACAUGUACACUUAUGAUAUCAUUUCCAAACACCCAAGGAGCAAAUUUUGAAGGCCUUGCACAGCAACUUUACAUCCAUAAAUAUAUAUCUUUGUUUUUCCUUGAUCAUGACUUAAAGUUGAACUCUCAUUAAAAAAGUUUUAGUGAUACAAAAAUAAACCAGAAAAAAUAUAUAGGACAUUAUAUAGGUAUAUGUAUUGACCUAAAAAAAAGUUGAGAAUUUAAGUUGUGAAUAUAAAUUACUUGUAAAGUACAAUGUAUACUUUUGGAGAAGGUAAAAGGGAGAUAAAUCAAAUCUUGAGAUGACCAUGAAAAUCAUAAAAAGGAGUAGGUUCAGUAAGACCCCUUAUUGGCCCCAAAAUAUAGCAGUUUUACAAUAUUGUGAAAAUGUAAUCUUUAAGCUAUUUAAUAGAAAGUAGAAUGCUUCAGCUAGAUAAAUAUUGGCUGUUUUUGACAAUACAAUGCACAUAUAUCGGUUAGUAGCAUCAGUAAGUCAUGCUUAAUUACUGAAAUCUUCACAAUUUUUGCAUUUUAGUUAAAUUUUAGAUGGUGUCCGUCUGAAAUGAAAGUGGCCGCAUUCGUGUUCAUUCAUAAUAUUGAAAUGCAAGUUGUAUUUGAUGAUAAUACAUAAUAUAUAUAAAGUUGAGGAUGAACACAGAUGCGGCCACUUUCAUUUUCUACAAAAAAAAACAUUUGAAAAGUGACGUUUUUUGACAUAUAUUUGGUAGAUUUUUCAUAUUUAAACUUGAAUCCCAGCUUUUUAAUGACUAAAUCAGUUAAAAUCUUUCACUAAACUAAUCGAAUCAAUUGAAAUAGACACUUAAGUGUUUAUAAAGUGUCUAAAAUCUUUCGUUAGAUGAUCUUGAAAAUUGAGGCCAAAAUCGGCCCUUACCGGACAUACUCCUUUACUUCUACAAGUAGAUUUAUUGAAAUCUUAUUACGGGUCUUUGAUAAUUGAAAAUUGAGGCCAAAAUCGGCCCUUACCGGACAUACUCCUUUACUUCUACAAGUGGAUUUAUUGAAAUCUUAUUACGGGUCUUUGAUAAUUGAAAAUUGAGGCCAAAAUUGGCCCUUACCGGACAUACUCCUUUACUUCUACAAGUAGAUUUAUUGAAAUCUUAUUACGGGUCUUUGAUAAUUGAAAAUUGAGGCCAAAAUUGGCCCUUACCGGACAUACUCCAUUACUUCUACAAGUAGAUUUAUUGAAAUCUUAUUACGGGUCUUUGAUAAUUGAAAAUUGAGGCCAAAAUUGGCCCUUACCGGACAUACUCCUUUACUUCUACAAGUAGAUUUAUUGAAAUCUUAUUACGGGUCUUUGAUAAUUGAAAAUUGAGGCCAAAAUUGGCCCUUACCGGACAUACUCCUUUACUUCUACAAGUAGAUUUAUUGAAAUCUUAUUACGGGUCUUUGAUAAUUGAAAAUUGAGGCCAAAAUUGGCCCUUACCGGACAUACUCCUUUACUUCUACAAGUAGAUUUAUUGAAAUCUUAUUACAGGUCUUUGAAGAAAACCUGCAUGUCCUAAAUACCAUAAUUUUGAUUGCAAAAUACCAAUAUUGUGUUGGUCCUUGCAAAAUUUUGAUGGACAAAAGUUGAAAACCUUUGGAGUGUGGACUAGCUACCUCUUUUUAUGUUAAGUUUAUGUGAUAGUUAAAGUAAAGCUUUCUAUUUAGGACUAUCAACAUAAUAUCAAUUGUUAUUAAAGAAAGUGACACAUUUCAGUGUGUGCAUUCUUGAUAAAAUUAUAUUUUCAUCCUUAUCAUUGCUUAUACUUGUGUGUACAUAUUUUUUUUAUUAAAAGGCCUAAAUCUCCCUGAUGUAAUUAAAUUUCAUUGAUUGACAUGAUAAUUAUUAGUACAAAAUGUAGAACUAGUAAAGCCUAGACAGAUCCUUUUUUCUUGAAUCAGGGACAUAGGAUACUUAAUACAAUCAGAUUGGAGAUAGUACUGUAUGACAGUAUGAGUAUCAUAUGUAUAUCAUCAUGAUCAUUAUGUCUAGCCAGUGUGAUAACAUUUUCUAUUGGAUACUGAUUAUAUGUAUUUAUAUUCUGAAGAAGAUUUAUUGUUUCUACUUUUUAUCAGCUCAAUACAAAGAAAUACAUGUUGUAUCCUGCCAUUUAAUAUAUAGUCAGAUAAUCAUGAUUAUUUGAGAUCUGAACUCAUCAAUAUUUUAUUUGAAUUUGAGCAUUGAGUUGCUUAUGAAUACUAAAUCACCAAAUUAUUACAUAAACAAGCAUGUAUUUAAAAUCUUAAUUGUUAGCUUAUCUACUGAGCAAGUGGGGCUGUUUUUUUAUGUUUUUGUUUUAUAAUGUAGAUCACUUGUUGACAAUCAAAUCUGAUGCUGUACAAUGUUUAAAGUGGCUAUUGCACAUUCAAGUCCCCUGUUUUUGUUGUUGUAAAAACCUAUAGAAUUUUCUUUAGAAACAGUGGGUAUUUUUUUAAAACAGGAAUGCAAAUUGGUUAUUUUUAGCUGUUUUAUAUAUUUUUUUAAUUUCUCUGUACUGUCAGGUUUCCUUAAGGUAGCAUGACUUCUCUCCCUUUAACUUUGUUAUUUGUUCUCAGAUAAUUAUAAUGUGUCAUAAAUGUCUUUCUGUUAGAAUAAAUAGUAAUUGCUGUACCUUUCUGGUCUACAUGUUGCUAUCACACUUAAAAAUGUUAUCAAAGUUCUAAAGUCCUUUAGUUGUAUACAUUAUACAUCUGAAAAGCACCUCAUUUUCAAUUAUAAUAGCAUAUCGUCGCUGUUAUGCAAAAACCUCGUAUCUAAGGUUUUGAUAAUUUUACACCAGGCAGUAAAAACUGAAAUCUUGUUAUCGAUUAUUUAGAAUUUAAUAUGCAUGUUCCGCUGUAUGCGAAAAUAUCUGAUCUUCUAACCAAUCAAUUACCAAGACGAGCAAAAAUGUCUGCACCUAUAUUGUAUUUUCAUUAUUUUUAAGCUAAUAUAUUAGCUUUGAGAACCUAAAAUUGAUAAAACCGUACCUGUAAUAAUGUCAGCUGCCGUGAAAAGUGUUUUUCUUUUGAGAUACGAUAUUAUCGCACAACAAAAUGUCUCACCAAUCCGACUACACUUUUUCGUCACAUGUCAGAAUUCGGGUUAAUGAUUGGUUAGAAGAUCAGAUAUUCUCGCAUACAGUGGAACAUACAUAUUUAAUUCUAAAUCUUCGAUAAAAAGAUUUCCUCAAAAAAUUGAGAUACGAGGUUUUUGCAUAACAGCGACGAUAUGUUGAAUAAAGUUUCUAAUAAAUUCAAUUUUUGCUAAAUAUUUAUGCAAACACCAAUAUUGUGAAGGACAUUGGUAAAAUCUAUAUAAAACUUGAUAGGAAUUUGAAUAUGUUUACACCACAAUCUCACUGGCCGUGUGAAAAAUAUCAUCAUCUAAAAAGUUUCUAGGAGGAGUCAUUUUGUUUUAUUCAUCAUCAGGGUAGAUUUGAUAUAAUCCCACAUUAUCGAAUUCAGCAAUGCAUAAAACGUUUUGUGAUUUGUAAUUAAAUGCUAUUCAAAAUCGAGAUUAUGCAACAAUUAUACAAUGCAGUUUCAAUACACAUUCAGUUUUUAUUGCAUAAUUUUGAUUGAAAGUUUUAUAAUUGAAAAUUUGAUAUCCAAAGAAUACAAGUUAAUUAUGCUAUUUAAAUUAAUGUAUUGAUGUUAGGGAAACACUAUCUGAUUUCUCCCGUUUACUUUAAUGUGUUUUACCUGAAUUUGUAAACUGUCUCUAAGGAGAAGAUAUUGAUUCUGGUUAACAUGAUUGUCAGAUACAGUUAACAUUAAAAACAUAGGCUACAUAUAUUUCUUUCAAGGUAAGUAAUUUUUAAGCUUUCUGUACAUGUACUUUGAACUGAGUUUUUUUCUCUCUCGUAAAUAUUUGUAAGUGGCUUUCUAUAAGCCAAAUUGUAUAUCUAUGAGCAAUGUAUAUCCCAUCACAUUCUUUGGUGUAUGUCGACCCAAUGAAUUUAUAUUAAACUCCCUGUAGAAAAAAUGUAUAACUUUUUUUGCUUAUAAACUGAUCACUUUAUUAAUGGGUUGAACGUUAAAAUAUAUGGCCCAUUUUAUUACUUGUAUAUUGAAAAACUUGACUAAAUUAUAUAUAGUAACAUUGUUUAUGGAUCUUUGAGAUUCAGUGUCUUGACUCAGUGUUUGAAAAACUAAUUUUGAAAUUAAUAUAUAUACAAAGAUCAUUCUUAGGACUACAGUCAUCUACAAAGUAGUUAUUAGGAUUGGUACUGGUCAUGCAUGUUUGAAAUUUACUUUUGUUUUGAAUUUUUUCACGAGCAGAUCGACAACUCUUAUGUCUAUAUUAAAUCAGAACAUUUCCUGUCAUUGUUGAAUUUAAGUUCUAAAAUAAAUAAGAUUUAAUGUAACCAUUAAAAGCAUGUGGUGUUGUAAAUCUUAUUUAAAUACUUUGUAUUGUGUUACUUAAUAUCAUUUAAAAUCUCUAUGCAUGGAUAAUUUAAUAUUUUUGAUAUGGCACAAAAAUGUAGGAUUUUAUUGGUAUUUAGAUGAACUUUUGCUGGACAUAUAGAAAGAUAGACUUACGUAAAUGUCAAUAUUGUCGAUUUUUUAUUGAUCGUAAGUAGUUGGAAGUAAUUAAACUUUUAGAUUAGGUUACCUUCUGUGUUUUUGUUUUCAUUUGGUUUAAUGUAUAUAGUCUUUAUAUAUUCAUUGAAGUGGAUUGUCAAGUUUUAAAGCGGAUUUUCUACUCAGAUUUUGCAUUUAUACAAUGUAUACUAUAGCCUGUCUUAAAGUUCUCACCAGGUAUUUUUUGCUUUAGCUUAUAGUACAUUUAUGAUUUAUUUUUAAUAUAUAUAUUUACAUUAAAUUUAUAUAUUAAAUACCUGUAAUUUUAUUUGAUGUUUGAAUUUUUUUAAAAGAUCAACAUGUAUACAUUUUAGAUUAAAUCAGAAAAGUUCUUUUAAUGUUUAUAUUAAAAUAUAUACUAUGUUUAUAUUAUAAAGGUGCACAUGUUUGAAUUUGUUGCAAAAGCCUGACUCAUGGUUUAAUGUUGACAAUCUGCAUGCAUUGUGUUUUAAAAAAGGUAUAAUCAAUUUUAAAAUGAUAAGAUAUUUAAAUAUUUCAUGGUUCAUAUACAAUCUAUUGUUUCAUUGUAGGUUUUGUAAUAUCAACAGAGAUCCUAUGAGGAAUAACAUGGAAUGAGUUGACAUAAUUGUUUGAGUGCAUAUGACAAGGAUUAAAAAAUUCACAAGAAAAUGUAGGUAUAAUUUUAUCUAUUUGAUCAGGGCUAAUCUGCAGAUCAAUAUCAGAAAAGUUUAAAUCUGUCAAAUUGUGAUUUGUAUAGAUAUAAGGGAAACAGGAUUCUUAAGUGGUUGUUUGGGAGAUACUUUUCAAGUAAGGUAUUCAUUGUUUGAAUAUAAUUAUUGUAAAAUGGUCUUUGUUUUGUUUAGUAAAAUUCCAUUUGUACAUACUUUUAUCCUCUAAAACCUUUUAAAACUUAAAUACAUUAUACAUGUAUGUAGAUACAUUUUGUUGGUUCAAAUAGAUGUAUUUUGCAUAAUAUGAAGCACUGUAAAUAUUCGGUAUCAACUGCAAUUUAAUUUUACAAGAUGAAUGUUUUAAGCAAAUUUUUCAAGCCAGUUUUAUGCUUAAGGAAAAUGAUGUCUGAACAAAAUAUUUUGAUACACUCAAACAUUAUUUGUAAACCAUACAAAUAUUUCAACAAAGAAACUAUUUGUUGGACAAAGAAUUUGGUGGCACAGGAUUUAGAUUUAUAUGCUCUUUCCUUUAAUAUGAUUUUAAAUCCAGAUUUUUUUGGUGGUAAACAGUGGCAAACAAGCUCAUUUUGGGGCCCUUUAUAAUUUGCUGUUUGGUGUGAGCCUAGGCUCCUUGUAAAAAAUAGGCUUGUUGAAACCUAAAAUGGUUUACUUUUAUAAAUUGUGACUUGGAUGGAGAGUUGUCUCAUUGGCACUCAUACCACAUCUUCUUAUAUCUAUCAGUCAAAAAUCUAUAGAAAUAUUAUUACUAAUGUCAUGACUUUUCUUACAUAUGGUAAAGCUUAGCUUUAGUUGUAAUCGUAAUAAGUUUAUUGCAACUCAACAUAUAAAAUAAUGCUAUAGCAUCAACAACAUAUAUAGUAUAGUAAGCGACAUAAUAUAAAUGAAAACAGAAAGCAAAAUAAUAACAAAAAAAACAUAUUAAACAAAUAGUACAGUAUAAUUAUUAUCUACUUUAUCAAGUUAAAUACAUCUUGAUAAUUAACAAAUCAAUGCAGGUGAAAUGAAUGCAGAACAAAAAAAAAAGAACUUCACGCACAGCGUAAACAUCAUUAUAGAUCAGAUUAUCACAUGUUUGUGUGUAAAACAAGAAAUUAAGAUACACAUCUGUAAAAGGCACCCUAUUGCUGUGGUUGCUUUACUUCUCUCAUUGAUUUGCCUAUUAUGGCUUCAGUGUAAAAUUACUAGAAUACAUGUAUAAGCAAGAAAGGAUUGGAAUCUUGAACCAUUGACAGAUGUUAAGUGUACCAUAUGAAUACAAUAUCAGGCCAGGUACUUUUUGUAUAAAAAUGGGGUAUCACUAUCAAUGAAUGGGACAGCAACACUACAACUCAAAAAUAGCAAAAUAAGCCUAGAUGUAUUGUCUUCAGCAUUAUGCCAUCUGAAAUGAUUUGUCAGACAUCUUGUUUUAUAGUAGAAAUUGGUAGUGCAAUCUGGCCCGAGAACACAGUUAUUUCGUAGUACAUUUCUUUUAGACAAUAAAUUAAAAUUAAAAAAAUCGCACCUGCUCUUUCUCAAAAAGAUUUUUACAGCGUAGUGUACUACCAGUGAGACAAAUAAUAUCAAAAUUAUAGAAACUUCUACCAGCUCUAACUCAAAAUAUUGACAAUUCUGUGUUAAGGGGUGUAAAAUUCAGUUUGACAGCUUCAGACGUGAUAAAAUUUGACCUUUUUGAACUGGACUAAAUCACUACUCAACACAAAAAUUCAGCACCCAAAUUUUUUUAACAUGUAAUAAAAUCCCCCCUACUUAAUAUUUUAUGCAUUUAAUAUCAAGAAAUAAAUUGGGAAAGUGCAUCAAAUAAAACAUGCAAGUUAUACACUGUUUACACCAGGGACUAUAUUCAUAGACAACGAAAACCAAAGGACGAUAACUGUUUCCUUGGACCAUCUUUAAAAAAAUAUACUACAUUCUUUGUAUUGUCUUGAUGAUAGAUUUAAAAUAUUUUUCUUAGGAAUUUCAAAGUGCCAUCCCACAUAAAUUGAAUGAGAGUACUUUGGGGGAUUAUUUUUUUAUCAUCAAUUAUAUUUAAAUAAUGAAUGCAACCUUUCUAGUGAUUUUUGACUCAAAAGCUUUCAAGGACCUUUACUUAAACUCGUCUAUUUAAGAACUUAAGAUUUUUAAAGUUUGAUUUUUUCAACACUCAUCUAUUAAAUUACCUUUUUUAACUUAGAAUUUCUGAAGUAAUGUGGUCUUCAUUGUGGUUUAUUUACAUUCAUGAGUGUAAAAUGAUAAAGAUCUAAAAUAAAGUUAUUAAAUUACUGUUUAAUAUGUCAAUUUAUUUAUUUAAUCAAUCUAGAAUGAGGUGUAGAUUUUAACCCAGUAGAAUGAAUUGACAUGUUAAAUGGGGUUGGUUUUAUCAUAUUUUAAUUGUAUAUAUAUGUUAAUAAAAUAGGGUAUAUUUAUGGUUGAAGCCAAUUUUAGGAAGAAGGUGAAAUUUUUUAGGUGGUAAAUGGAAUAUUAAGUGAUAAAUGGAAAAUUAGGUGGUAUAUGUCUCCAUUAGAAUAGAGGUAAUUCUUCUUUAUUAUACUUGUCUAGGUGAUAUAUAUAAGUGAGGACAAUCUAUGGAAAAAAUCCUAAUUUGUUUAAAUCUGGUAAGUGCUAGCAGAAAAUUGAUUUAUUUGACUUGAAACAUUACUUAUUCUUUUAAAGGUAAGCUAAAAUAAAGAUUGUUCCAACAAUAAAAAUUUGAAGUUGUUAAAAGAUUGAGCUAGUUUUACAAAACAUACAUAUUGGGACACAUACUGACUCGAACAACUUAGGAAUUUAAUUGUUGAGAAUUAAAAAAUAAAAAAAAUCUAAGGAUAUGGACUGGUUGAGUUUAAAGAAGCUUAUAAUGUAUUUUUUUUAGAUUUUUUGCUUAUUAUUGUGUGUUUCCUUAGUUUUGUCUUCCAAAGUUUGUGUUUAUAUAUUUGCGCAAAUGUCAGAACUAUUUCUGUAUAUAUAUUAGACAUGUAUAUGCACUUUAAUGAAUGAUAGUGUACCAUGUAUAUUUUGUAAGAUUUGAUUGAUUGAUGAGUUAAUUUAUCUUCAUUUUCUUAAUGCUCAGUCGCAAAUAUUUCAUUAAUUUGUGCAUCCCCACACAGGGCAGGUGCACUCAACUCCUUUAUUUAUGGACUAGGGUUAUCAGAGUUCCUACCAAAGAUCUGUGGUUCUCUCUGGACACUGGCUUCCUCCACAAAUAAAAACUGACUGCAACCAAACAGCACUAUAGUAUUAUCAGAGUUCCUACCAAAGAUCUGUGGUUCUCUCUGGACACUGGCUUCCUCCACAAAUAAAAACUGACUGCAACAAAACAGCACUAUAGUAUUGGAAGUGAUGUUACACACCAAUCAAGAACCACAUAAUUUCUGAAUAUGACAGAGUGCUAGCAUUAAUACAUAUGUGAAUAUAAAAUUGAGGGACAUUAGAGUUAACUUUACUAUAAUAAAAUUAUACGUGUCAAUAAAUAAAUGCUUGUCACUUUUUAAGCAUUUACCUCAAAACAAUAGAUACCUUGAAAUCAAUUUGCACAAUUAUGAUAGAGAUAUAUGUAUCUUGUAAAGCUUAUACAUCAGUAUUUUAUGCAAGUAAGCAUUCUAUUGUCUUAUUGACAUUAUUGUCUCACCUUGACACUACAGUGUAACCAGUGUUAUCAGACACAGAACUCUAGUAUUGUGUCACCUUGAUAUUAUAGUGUAACCUGUGCUAUCGGACACACUGGGGGACCAGAAAAAAAAUGCCAGAUUAAGCAGGGUGUCGAAAUACCCAAGUUUAUUUUCUGUAAGGAUAGGCUUAUUUUGGGACCAUGAUAAUGUGUUGGUUAAAGCAGGAUGUUGGAAUACUCAGAUGUCAGAUUAGGCAGGUUACACUGUAUAUGUACAAUAUGUAUUUAUUUCAAUCUCUCUGCCAAUUUUCACAGUUAAAAAUAAAAGCACUGAAUUAUUUUAAGCUUUGUAUUUUGUUUGUAAUUUUAUGUUCACUUUAAAUGUAUUAAAUGUAUAGUUUUUAUAUCCACAGAUUGUAGAAACAACAGGGAUAUGCGUUAAGAAGAUUAAGGUAGAAAGAGAUUAAUAUCCAGAUUAACUUGUGGCUUUCUGGAUUAACUAAGAUUUUUUUGGAUUAUUGUUUUCCAG